RNAcentral lists this ribosomal RNA (430 nucleotides) under uncultured bacterium. Its description in RNAcentral is "bacterial SSU rRNA". It matches the Rfam family "Bacterial small subunit ribosomal RNA", at positions 355 to 776 of the family's 1533-position model. The record is from RNAcentral.
UGGGGAAUUUUGCACAAUGGGGGAAACCCUGAUGCAGCAACGCCGCGUGAGUGAAGAAGGCCCUUGGGUUGUAAAGCUCUUUCGGCCGGGGAAAAGGUUAGUCGUGCUCAUACCACGAUUGAUUGAUUGUACCGGAAGAAGAAGCACCUGCUAACUACGUGCCAGCAGCAGCGGUAAUACGUAGGGUGCAAGCGUUGUUCGGAAUUACUGGGCGUAAAGGGCGCGUAGGCGGGUUUGUAAGUUGGUUGUGAAAUCCCUGGGCUUAACCUAGGACGUGCAACCAAAACUGCAAGUCUUGAGUAUUGGAGAGGAUGGCGGAAUUGCAGGUGUAGAAGUGAAAUUCGUAGAUAUCUGCAAGAACACCGGAGGCGAAGGCGGCUGUCUGGCCAAAUACUGACGCUAAGGCGCGAAAGUGCGGGGAGCAAACAGG